GAGAAACUCCUGAUGAAACUGCGUGUCGCUGUGGCGAAUGCUCUGGAAAAGAAUGGUGUGUCUCAACGCAGCUUCCUUUACAAGGCUUGCGGCAAGAAGCUUUUUGAUAUUUGUAGUACCUUUGCUAAGGACCUUAUCGGCUGUGGUCGUACAAGUGAGCUGCGACAAAACAUUGCAGAUUCCCAUGCAAAGCAGGUGUGUGU
Molecule: long non-coding RNA, 203 nt
Organism: Rhipicephalus microplus (southern cattle tick)
Lineage: Eukaryota; Metazoa; Arthropoda; Arachnida; Ixodida; Ixodidae
Source: RefSeq, a predicted model, not a curated record